UGUAUGUCCUGUGUUGGUCUGAAGUUGUUGAAUGUAUUUUGUAGCUGCUCCUGCAGAGGGGGGGAAGGGGAACGCUCCUUGGGUGUGUUUAGGGAAGAGGCCUGCGGGAAAACAACCCAUAAUAUUGAAUCUGUCUAUGCACACUAGAGACGGUCACCCUGGACACAGGAUGAAGAGAUCUACGGCCAGACGGCAAUGCCUUGCCCCGGCCAAGAUUCUGCUCGGCCCCAACACCACCGAGCAUUCCGUUCCUCCCUCUGCCUAGACUUAGUCAUGCAUGAUCUGCACAGUCUGCAUUCACAGGCGAUGCCACUCACAACUGACUCACUCCCAUGUGAAGUAGCAUUAGCAUGCCCCCAUACACACAUACUGCCCCCGUACCAUCGCUCCUCCCAGACAGCCAGCCAGUUGCACCCAAGAUGCCUUACAGAUGAGGAAUGAUGUGAAAUGUAUCAUGGUUUGUUCUACUCACAAAAGCUCCAUCUCCCUCUCCCUCACUGCAGUAAAUAUUGUAAUGUUGUUCCUUUUCUCUUUGUUCAGUGCAGUCUGUUUGCCAUUCAGAGCGAGUGUCACAAUUUUUAAACAGCAGUCUACAUUCUCUCUCUAUACUGUCUCCACCUAAGGCCCCAGAUAGCUGCUAGGCAUGCAACAGCAGCUGCUGCAGUGGCCAGCCUCAUACAACCUGAGGUACCACCAGGCAUGCAGACAGGUGUAAUUGCAGGAGACCGUGAAUUAAAUAGUGGAAGUGUUUUCUUUGAAUUCUUGUGUUUUGAAUCAACAUGGAAAACAAUUAAUGUAAGACAUCCACUAGCAAGCCAUAGAAGGUUUGAUAAAGCAUGCUGUGUCCAAGAAAGCACUAUAUACUCUCAGUAUAAUUGACAGAUUCGGUACUUAGGGUGUACAAAAAGUACAUGCUUUAAACAAAGAUGACAUCCUUUCUGUAUUAAGUCAACAACCCCGUGGUGCUAUAUCACAACCAAAUAUAAACCCAAGCAAGGGCAGUUUUUCUCACCCCUCCACUGUUGAAUAAACACCCUGGCAUGGCAGCCCUAAUGCGCAGAAAAUGCACUUAUACCCUCCCCUUAGCUCAUCAAUCACCCAUCUGCAGUAUAUUCAAACCUUGGGAAUAAAACAUGCACAUUCAGAAAUUCAUACCCGUUAUCGUAGCCAGUAUGCGUUUCAUUUGCCAUACUGGAAUGGCUGGAACUGUAUUGAUUUCUUCCUUUUUCUCUCCCUUUUGUGUGAGGAGUGAAAAGCUUGUUUUCCUCCACAUCUGUAUGAAUUCAUUAGCCAGCCUUUGGAACACAUCAGUGUGGUUGGUGCAUGGGCAACAGGCCAUGUUCAUCCACUACCAUUUUGUUUUCCUUUUCCAUUUGAACCCAAUACCUUUCUAUCACCGGCUUUGUUUUUGAACCUUGCCAGUCUCUGCCGUAAUGAUGGGUACUAAGAACAUGUGAAUGCUAUAUACACACACACACACACAUACAUAGUAAUUGCCAAUUGUUGUGAC
Non-coding RNA from Oncorhynchus mykiss (rainbow trout), 1510 nucleotides. The record is from RefSeq and is a predicted model, not a curated record. NCBI's taxonomy places the organism in Eukaryota, Metazoa, Chordata, Actinopteri, Salmoniformes, Salmonidae.